This 454-nucleotide ribosomal RNA is filed under the name uncultured Acidovorax sp. RNAcentral describes it as "bacterial SSU rRNA". It matches the Rfam family "Bacterial small subunit ribosomal RNA", at positions 927 to 1382 of the family's 1533-position model. The record is from RNAcentral. Lineage: Bacteria; Pseudomonadati; Pseudomonadota; Betaproteobacteria; Burkholderiales; Comamonadaceae.
AAGCGGUGGAUGAUGUGGUUUAAUUCGGUGCAACGCGAAAACCUUACCCACCUUUGACAUGUACGGAAUCCUUUAGAGAUAGAGGAGUGCUCGAAAGAGAACCGUAACACAGGUGCUGCAUGGCUGUCGUCAGCUCGUGUCGUGAGAUGUUGGGUUAAGUCCCGCAACGAGCGCAACCCUUGUCAUUAGUUGCUACAUUCAGUUGGGCACUCUAAUGAGACUGCCGGUGACCAACCGGAGGAAGGCGGGGAUGACGUCAAGUCCUCAUGGCCCUUAUAGGUGGGGCUACACACGUCAUACAAUGGAUGGUACAAAGGGUCGCCAACCCGCGAGGGGGAGCCAAUCCCAUAAAGCCAUUCGUAGUCCGGAUCGCAGUCUGCAACUCGACUGCGUGAAGUCGGAAUCGCUAGUAAUCGUGGAUCAGAAUGUCACGGUGAAUACGUUCCCGGGUCUU